Capsella rubella is the source of this 101-nucleotide small nucleolar RNA. It matches the Rfam family "Small nucleolar RNA snoR31". The record is from Rfam. NCBI's taxonomy places the organism in Eukaryota, Viridiplantae, Streptophyta, Magnoliopsida, Brassicales, Brassicaceae.
GUGAUAAUGAUGAAGCAAAAUUAAUCUAAUCCAACACUUGAUCUGAGAGUUGCUUUGUGCAUCUACAAGUGAAUGUCAACCGAAUUAGCUUCUGAAUCUAA